RNAcentral lists this long non-coding RNA (33279 nucleotides) under Hordeum vulgare. RNAcentral describes it as "long non-coding RNA (HVUL_LNC020205)". Lineage: Eukaryota; Viridiplantae; Streptophyta; Magnoliopsida; Poales; Poaceae. The record is from RNAcentral.
AUAAUAACAAGAAGAGUCAAGGUAGCGAAAGUUGCUAUACUCUAGUAGCUGGCGGGGCUAGUGCUAGUGGUGAAGGAAAUCAAAUGGCAGAGAAGACACGGAUUCAUACUUCUUUUUUUAAAUAGCCCAGCUCCCCGAAAACAACGUUCGACUUGCAUGUGUUAAGCAUAUAGCUAGCGUUCCUUCUGAGCCAGGAUCAAACUCAGAUUUGGACUAUGAUUGGGCCGAACAGUGGUAGAACCUGGUGAACCGGGCCUACUACUAAACAUUGAUUCUCUCUCCUAACCACUCUUAAAUAUGUGAAAUACACGGAAUCGAUCCAAAACUACAAGGGCUGCUGGGCAAGUGAAUGAACUCUGUCCUAGGCAUUUCCAAUAAGUUCAGUGAAGUGAGGGCGAAGCCUUUUUUGAGAGGGAAAAUACACUCCAAAUGAUAUUCCAUAAUGGAAGGAAUGAGUGGAAGAUUUACUGGAAGAAAAAAAUACGAUACUUUUCUAGUCGUAGGUAGGGCUACCUAUCUAGUUUCGUGCUUGGGGGGGGGUGGCUAGCGUCGCGGGGCGCCGCCCCCUGCCCGACAGCGUCGGGUCCUGGUCCGCCCCUGCUCAGUCUCUCCUCUCUCGCGUCAUCGAGGCAUGUCAACGCUGCUUCAUCUUCUUCCCUCACCCAGCGUCGCUCCUCGGGGCUUGGGAUCUCGUAGCUAGCUUGCGACGAAUCUGGGCAUCCUUGCCCAGAUUCGGCAUUUGUGAUGGUCGGCGGGGGCGGGGGUGGACGCGAUAUUGUGGAGGUGAUGGUGAUGGGGCUGUUGUCCGCGCUGCUCCGGCGUGGGCGGUGGAUCUGACCAGGACAUGGAGGCGCAUGUGAUGUGGUGGUGGCAGGUUGACUGCGGCGACGGUCGGAUUGUUUUGGCGUUGACUCGUCUAUAGGCCGCAUGUGUCGUCCUUCAACCCCUCUUCUCGACGCCCGUUCACUUCUCUCAUCGAUGGCAUGGUGUUCUUCGAGCUGUGGUCCAUCUCCCGUCUCGCGCCUGGUGCCGCGGGACCGAGCUUGUCUCGUGCCCAGCUACAGGAUUGGACUCUCUCGCGCCCGACGGCGGGACUGCGCUCGUCUCACAGCUGGUGCUGCAGGACGGCUCGAUGGAGGCCAGUUGUGGCCGGCCUAUGGGGUCUCGGCACUAGGGGUCGACCAGGGGUGCGAAGGCGGGGCCUUUUCGCUCGUCUGUUUGGUUAACUACAAGAAAUCGGUUAAUCUAUGACAACCCCUAUCCGUCACCGACAGCCCAAAAACUGUCAUCGAUGGCCAUCUGCGACGGUCGACCUGUCCGUCAUGUAUAUCGCGUCAUAAUUUGUCCAUCCCACAAAUUAUGACGGAUUUAGUAGUCCGUCAUCGAUGUUGGUCAAAUCAUGACGGCUCUCUACCGUCACCGGUCGUACAUGUCUCAUCAUAUCCAUUCAGUGUUCAAGACAAACAUGUCUGAUCAUGUCCAUUCAUUCAGGGCUAAGGCAGGCAACAACCAUGGCAAGAGAAAAUCUGAAUGCGUUCUCAUAAACUGCAAGUUUGAUGCUAGCAAAUCUGAGUGCAUCCUCCAACAGAAAAACUAAAGAAAGGAACAACUUGUAUACAGUACAAGUUUGCUGAUGCUAGAAAAUCUGAAGGAUAGAGAUGAUUUCCCUNNNNNNNNNNNNNNNNNNNNNNNNNNNNNNNNNNNNNNNNNNNNNNNNNNNNNNNNNNNNNNNNNNNNNNNNNNNNNNNNNNNNNNNNNNNNNNNNNNNNNNNNNNNNNNNNNNNNNNNNNNNNNNNNNNNNNNNNNNNNNCAUACCGCUCGUUCCUGGCCCACGUUGAUGUGGAGAAGAACGGGGGAAUGUCUGGUGCAUCAAUGGAGGGCGGCGGCUAGCUCGUCCGUGCGGCAAUGGCGGGCGGCGGAUGGAUCGUGGGCACGACAAUGGCGGGCGCGCGGAGGCUGGCUCGUCGGCGCAGCAAGGGCGGGUGGCGGCGAGGCGGGAGGCCGACGGGAUCUUGAAGAUGAUGCCGAGAGAGACCACCCCGCCGGACCUGACAACCCUCUCCGGGGCAGUCGUCGGUGGCACUGGCGGUGCCGCAGCGACGGCCUCGAUCUGAAAAUUGGGAUCCUCCCAAUUUUUUUUUGUUGAGAAAAACGUAUGGGCCAAAGAAGGGGCAUAUACACGACAUCAGCAGGACGACAAUCCAUGACGGUUUAAAUGGUGUAUACGAAAAAUUGCUAGGCCCGACUAAGCCCAGUUCUUCGAUUCAUGACGGUUUCCGUGACGGUAUCCGGUCAUCCGUCAUCAAGGGCCUGCUGUCCUCCGACCCAAUCGCGGCUUACUAAUCGGUGACGGUAUGUGUGACGGAUUGUGGAACGUCAUCUGAAUUCCGUCAUGGAUCAACAGAUUUCUUGUAGUGGUUGGAACGGCUGCAGGUCUCGGGGAACAUGGUGUCAAGGUCUUGGAUACCUGAGCGGCGGCCCUGGUGGUGGUGGUGCGGUGCUCAUGGACAGAGCAUGUGCCUUGGUGCUUCCUGGUAGCCACGGUCGUGUGGACGAUAUGGUAGCCGGGGUGUAGCGUUCGGUGGUGUUGAGUGUUGGCCGGGUGAAAACCUGCUCUUUCUUCGGACGGACCGGUGUUGGCGAAGCUCGUUCCCUUCUUGAAGGUGUCGUCACAGCUCUCAUUACCCGUCGUGUUGCUUUGGGGGAAACUCUGAUCCACGGAUCGGGCGGUGGCAGCGCUUCGGUGUCGCAUCCUUGCUGAAGGCGUCGCCUUGAAGCCCACGGUUCGUUAUAUGUAGCUUCACUUCUUCGCUGUUGCAUGUUCAUGGUUGAAGCUCCCGGAUGCUCUUAGUGCUAGGGAUGGUGUUGCUGCAUUCGACGUCUAUGUAUCCUGUCGUGGGUGUGUGUGCGUGUGUUCCGGAGGCAUGGAUUUGUAUCGGAUGUUGUUGAUCGUUGCUUUUAUAUAUAAAGCGGAACGAAAGCCUUUUCCGUAAGAGGAACUCUAGGGUUCCAUUAUAUUAGCCAUCGAGGUAAUCAGAGAAUUCUCAAUCAAGUCAUGUCUAAGUCAGCGGUAUCCCGGUUGUUAUACAGGAAGAACUUUUACCACUAGCGAAAGAUGAAUGAUAUGCUACACUAAUAAACGUAAAAACUACUAGGGCGGUGAAGAUGAUGCUUACGCGGAGGAGCCAACUCGGACCGUUCGAUAACUGAAGUGGUAUUUGUAGGACUCACGACAGUUAACUAAACAUGUUCCUUGUUAACUGAAGGUAAAUAUGCAGGCCUGAUAUUGCCACCUUCUAAAGAGAUGACAUUUCCUCAUGGUGUUUUAUGUGCCUCGCGCCAGGCUCGUGUUGUAGCCUUGAAGAAUUUUGGGAAUAUGUAUUUGAUGAAAUUCGCAUCCCCUAAUGUUGCUUCCUCAGGAAACAUGUUUGCCCACUGAAUGUACCAUUGUAUCACUAGCAUAAAGCUUCGGCUUCGCAUCUCCCCUCAUCGACCCCCCGCGUCGCGUCGACCUGCUGCUCGAGGGCCCCCAUCCCGCCACACCCCUCGCUCUUCUCGACCUACGCCCGCCGCCUCUACGCACGCACUGCGCCUGCAAUUGAAUUGAGCACCCUUUACAAAAGCAGAGUCUGAUUUGUGGUGAGCCUCGUCCGAUUCCAUUCGCGUCACGGCGCGCCAUUGAACUCUAUCUGAUGUUUUCCCCUCACAUAAUUUCCAGCUUCAACUCCAGGUGAAGCCGUGACUAGGGCGCCCUGCCUGCUUGGUUACCUGCCACAUCCCAGCUUGCUAUCAAUGAGCAGGGAUCACCGCCUGCAUGCAUGCCUCGGACCGCAUCAGAGCCUCUUGCCUAUGCCGGUGAGUUUAUGACUUUAUGGGAUACCGUAGGCUAGCGCGUUGUUUUGGCACGGGGUAACUUUCAUUUCUGCACCAUAGUUACCAUUAUGCCGGGCAUUGUUCAGUAUCCUAUAAGGAUGUUGAUUGUGCAGCACCGAGCUAGAUAGAUGUUGUAACAAGGCUAGAAAAAGCUUCCAAGUUGGAUCUCAAAAGCUGGAGUUUCCAAGUUAACUAGAGGAAAGAGAGAAAUAUAUAUGGCGCCUAUUUCGAUAUGGCUCCGGGAUACAAUGAUGUAGGGAGAGUUACAAAUUUAUAAAAGUACAGCUAUUUCUUCAAUCAUAAGAAUUACAAUUCCAUAGCAAAUAGUACAACUCUAGUCUUAAGGCUAGUGAUAUAUGACAACAUCUAGACGCGCAAUACAGCUAACUUCCAUGAAACAAAAAGAUUAGGAGCGCGUCGAAUGCGAGCUUCCAGCCAUAGCUUGGAGCAGUCUUGGUAUCGGGGGCAUCGUAGUCUCAACAAGCCCUUCGAGAAUCUGAACCACCUGUCCCAUUGUUGGCCGAUCAAGCUCAUCAUCUUGAAUGCACCAACACGCAACCUUGCAAGCUAGUUCAGCCUCAUCCAGAUUGACAUCACCAUGUAAAAUGUGAUCUACCAAACACCCAACGUCUCCUUCAAGAAUCUUAUGUGCGGCAUGCACAGGGAAAUAAACAUCAGCGUUGCCACCACCAGGACAUGAUGUGCAAGAGUUCCUUCUUCCAGAUAUUAUUUCCAGCAACACCAUCCCGUAGCUGUAAACGUCGACUUUCGGUGUAAUAGCCACGCCGCUAAUCCAUUCAGGUGCAAGGUACCCUGCAGUUCCUCUCAUUGUAGUUAGUACUCGGCUAAAAUCCCUUUCCAAAAGCUUUGCCAUGCCGAAGUCUGCAAUUUUUGGAGUGAAUGAAGCAUCAAUAAGUAUGUUUUCUGGCUUAAUAUCACAGUGUAUGAUGCAGUCUCGACAGCUCUCAUGUAAGUAGGCUAACCCUCUAGCAACCCCCAGGGCUAUCUGAUAUCUACCAGUCCAACUUAAUAUUGUUGAAUUGUUUCGGAAUAAAUGGAUAUCAAGAGAGCGAUUUGACAUGUAUUCAUAAACAAGCAACCUCUUAGAACCCUCACAACUGAAACCGAUGAGCUUAACUAAAUUGAUGUGCUGGACAGCUCCAAUUGAGCUCACUUCAGCUCUGAAUUGUUUCUCCCCUUGAUAAGCACCGUCAAGCCUCUUCACUGCUACAGCUAUCGAGUCAUUUAUAAACCCCUUGUAUACAGAACCAAAACUGCCUGCCCCCAACUGAUCUGUAAACUUUUUUGUGGCACCCUGUAAAACAGUGUAUCUAAAUGCAAUGAUUCCAUUAGAACCUUGAGCACCAUUAAGUAUGAGAUCAGAGCUCUUCCUUUUAUUUCUCCAAAUCAUCAGUAAUAGGAAAAGUGAAAAUAGGCCUAGUGCAGAAAAGCCUGUACCAAUUGCAAUUCUAAUAACAAACCCUCCUCUGUUGUUUUUUAAACUUUUGAUAUCUUUAGCAGAUAGGCGAAGGUAAAUAGUUUCUUCAUUUGAAUUGGUAGCGCCACCACAUUGUAACUGUCUCAUGUUGAGCAAUUCAUUAUUCCAGAUAGAACAUCCGCUGUUGCUAAAGGAAUACGCGGUGCAAGAGCAAUUAUUGAGGCAAGCUUGUGCACACUUACUCGUGCUUGCAGCUUCUUCUACUUUUCGGGCAUUAUGCGGCGGCUUAACACAUGGCACAGGGUAAAACUUGUCCGUGGUAUGUGUCGUACUUUUGUUGCUAAUAUUGCAGUCUAAAGGAGUAUUUCUUGAGCACCCACCGGUUCGAUCUUCUAGUUCCCAAUCCUCAGGGGAUGUUAUGGUGAAGCCCUCCAUGCAAUCACAAUACUGGAGUGCAUUAUCAUUGCAAAUCGUGAAUGGUCCACAAAUUGCAUAGACAUCACAUUGAGCUUUUGGUUGGGCAUAUAUCAUUACCCAGUCCUGUGAACCCUUUAACCAGAUGAACAACUUUGAUCGACCUGAAACAUCAUGUACUUGGCGAGUAACCAUUGUUUCAUCUUCUAAGUUAUAUGUGUAAUACUUCUCUUGGUCAUUGCUGACAAAUAUCGAACUGAAGAUAGAAUGGGCUGCCAUCUCUGGAAUUGAGGCAAAGUAUUUGCCGUUCCAUACACCGCUAGACCAAUAUGGUACCAAGGAGUUCAAUGGUGCAAGCCAGAACUGGUUAAUGCCACUGGGGUCUAUCUCAGUACAGUAGAUGCCACUAGCCGGGCUGAUCGAGUUUUUUGAAGAAACAAGGCGGCGAUUUAUGCCGGUAACCUUAUCCCAUCCAAGCUUUGCCCCAGGAAAAAAUGUAUCUGUGGGAUGAUCAAAGCUCUGCCAGAAAACUUCUGAUAAGUUCAAAGAGUUUGCCAGGAUGAAAUUUCCACUACUCAACAGCACUGCUGUGGUGCUAUUUCUUGUGAUGGAUGCUUGUGUAGACCACAUUAUGGACUUGCUGGACCGGUUUAAGAUGGCAAGGUUGCCAUCGUGGGAAAUUGCGAGCUCCAGUGAGGUGCUAUUCUUGAUUGGCUUAUCCCUAUUUGCAACCCACGCUGAAGUAAAUUUGGGAACUGUAUUGAACCAUAUGCCAAGGUACCAGUUGGGAGUGCUUCCGGAGGAUUUUCUGCUUGUUUCGAAGAAGCCAAGCGCGUACCUGCCAUUGCUGGAGAUGAGCUUGUCGUUGACGCCAAGUGUCUGGCCGGCUAAGAUGGUGUCCGUCGCUGCAGAACUUGCUGGGAUGUGUAGGUACAAGAGCAGGGUGAAAAAAAUGAGGUGGAGUGGCAUGGUGAACUGACGGUGAGGGCGUGCAGAAACUUGUCGUGCAAGGGCUGCAAAUGUAGACUGGGUACUCAGUGGUCAUGGUGAUAAAUAGUCACGGCCGAGUCUAAGCUCAAGGGAAGGGCCUAACUAUUGGAGUGAAAAUUUAUUCCUGUGGUGAUGAUCAACUGAAUCUUGCAUAGCCUGCAUGGCAGGCAAACAAUGUGGUCCGUGCUCUUGUUGUGCACUGGAUUUGUGGCAGAAAGGAAAGCGCAAAGGAAGGACAGCAGCUUGCCGUUGGCGAACUGGUAAUGGCACCACGGCAGUGUGGUCCUGUAUUCCUAUAGGAAAACACUUAGUAUCCAUAGUCUGGAACGAUUCCAAUCGUCAGACCCAUCUUCUCCCGUCGAUCCAGCAGAAUUCCGACGCUCCAGAUUCGUCUGUGAUUUAGAAACUAAAACCGUAUCCCCUAAAUCCCGCACGUAAUCUACUCCAAUCAACGCCCACAACCGCCCGUGUCUGCCCACUCCCCUGUUUCCCCAACUCACCAUUGCUGACUCCAGCGCCAUCCCGUUCUCCGCCACCAACCAAGCCGCUGACCCCCGUCCCCCCCACCGGCCACGAACGCCGCCCUCCCAUUCCACCGGACCGUCCGCCGGAUCGACCUCGCAGGCACAACCUCGCACCCGUGCACUGCCCCCUCCUCUGUUUGCCACCCCACCUUCGUCGCAUGCAGCGGCAUCUCCUCCACCGCCACCAGACACCGCCGUUGCCCCUACAGCCCACCGACCCCGCUUCCCCCACCGGCCGUCGACGCGACCCUCACGGUCCACGGAAGCCUACUGUCACAUCCAGCCCACACCCCUAGUGCUCGACCCGCCACGCACCACCAGCUCACCCCACAUCGGAUCUAACACCCCGCCGGCGGCGAGCGGAUCAGUCAUCCCAUCCGCAACAUCGCCAGGGCGUACAUCCCGUCGAUUUGAAGCUGUCGCAUUGCAUCGGCCGCCACUUGCUGGAGCUCCCCAUCCCAGGUCGUAGGUAAACUCUACUGUUUGUGUGUUGUUCCAGAUUUGGGAUUUCUUUCUCAUUUUUUUUCAAAUGAAAUCUGAUGUCUAAUUCAUCCUGUAGACUAAAUGUUUCAUAUGUUCAUUAGUUGACUAGCAUUUGUUUUUGAAUAUUUUCAUAUGUCGCACCCGUGCUUCCUAUCUAUGCAAAUGUUCUAAAAUACAUCCCAAUAAGCUUCCUGUGUCACAUGUAGACGAACACUUGGCGGCAAAUUUGUUAUCUAUUCCCUUUUUAAAAAUUCCUUGCUUCCAUUGUACAGAAAAAUUGAACCAUGUUGCACCUUAAAAUGCAUCAAACACAGAUGCUUCUGCAGUGGCCACUCUCUGAUUCGAUUGUAUUAAAAACUGCUUCCAAAACAUUGCCACCAUGGAAAACAUACACUCAAUGGAAGCAACUUACUAAUGCCUGUGUCAUGCGCCGUAUUCAUCGUGUGCCCAUUUUUUUUGCUCCUGACCAUAAACAAUGCUUUUAGUUUUUUGUACUGCAUUUUGUUACCGUGCCUAAUACAUCAUACAAAUAUGCUAACCCAUCACAUCACUCUUUUUCUCAGGUGACAAUCAACAAUGACUAAAAAAGAUAAAGAGUCGCUCAUGCUCCAGAGUCGAUAUGCAGCGGGCCGGUUACAUGAUAUCGUGUUAGGUCUCGCCCCCGCAAGGAAAAACCUCAUUCGUACCAAAAAAUGGGGCAAUCUCCUGGAUGUUAGCAAAUUCUCAGCCCUCGAGGGACUCCUAGAAUGGAUCAUUGACAGGAUUGACCCGAAGCUUGGUGAAUUUCGGAACCCACGAAACAAUACCAGCAUUCUAUUCACUCCAGAAAUGGUUGAAAAGGUCCUCGGACUUCCUCAUGGGACUAGGCCUGUUGUUGUCAUAAGCAAGCAUGAAGAAUCCCCUCACCGAGAAUUCNNNNNNNNNNNNNNNNNNNNNNNNNNNNNNNNNNNNNNNNNNNNNNNNNNNNNNNNNNNNNNNNNNNNNNNNNNNNNNNNNNNNNNNNNNNNNNNNNNNNGUCACCACAGAUAGACACGUGCAAGACAUACAUCAAGUGUUCUUAAAGACUCAAUCCGAUAUGAUAACUUCAAAGGGGAAACUCAAUUCAUUACAUGAAAGGAGAGGGGGAAGAACAUCAUAAGAUCCAACUAUAGCAGCAAAGCCCACGGUACAUCGAGAUCAUGACAUCUCAAGAACAUGAGAGAGAGAGAGAGAUCAAACACAUAGCUACUGGUACAUACCCUCAGCCCCGAGGGUGAACUACUCCCUCCUCGUCAUGGAGGUCGCCGAGAUGAUGAAGAUGGCCACCGGAGAUGGAUUCCCCCUCCGGUAGGGUGCCGGAACGGGCUCCAGAUUGGUUUUUGGUGGCUACAGAGGCUUGAGGCGGCGGAACUCCCGAUCUAGGUUUCUUUUCGGGGGUUUCUGUAUUUAUAGGAAUUUAUGGCAAUGGAAUUACGUCGGUUGGGCCCACGAGGGGGUCACAAGCCUCCUAGGUGCGUCCUAGGGGGGUCGCGCCUCCUGGGCUUGUGACUCCCUCGUGGCUCUUCUGGUCUUCUUCCAAAGCUUUGGGGGGUCUCUUUUCAUCCAAAAAAAUCAUCGUGAAAGUUUUAUUCCAUUUGGACUCCGUUCUGAAAAAGGUCAAAAACUCGGAAAAAACAAAAACUGGCACUAGGCACUGAGUUAAUAGGUUAGUCCCAAAAAAGAUAUAAAAUAGCAUAUUCAUGCAUAUAAAACAUCCAAAGUUGACAAGAUAAUAGCAUGGAACCAUCAAUAAUCAUAGAUACGUUGGAGACGUAUCAAGCAUCCCCAAGCUUAACUCCUGCUCGUCCUCGAGUAGGGAAGUGAUAAAGACCGAAUUUUUGAUGUGGAAUGCUGAUGACCCACAAGUAUAGGGGAUCAAUCGUAGUCCUUUCGAUAAGUAAGAGUGUCGAACCCAACGAGGAGCAGAAGGAUCUGACAAGUGGUUUUCAGCAAGGAAAUAUCUGCAAGCACUGAAAUUGUCGGUAACCAGUGAUUGUGUGGUGAGAUUAUUCGUAGCAAGAAACAAGUAAAAAAAAGUAGAAACGGUGCAGCAAAGUGGCCCAAUCCCUUUUGUAGCAAGGGACAAGCCUGGACAAAGUCUUAUAGGAGGAAAAACGCUCCCGAGGACACACGGGAAUUUCUGUCAUGCUAGUUUCAUCAUGUUCAUAUGAUUCACGUUCGUUACUUUGAUAGUUUGAUAUGUGGGUGGACCGGCGCUUGGGUACUGCCUUUACUUGGACAAGCAUCCCACUUAUGAUUAACCCCUCUCACAAGCAUCCGCAACUACGAAAGAAGAAUUAAGACAAAGUCUAACCAUAGCAUUAAACUAGUGGAUCCAAAUCAGCCCCUUACGAAGCAACACAUAAACUUAUCCCAUGUCCGCAGGAACAAAAGUAACUACUCACAAAGCAUAAUCAUAUUCAUGACCAGAGAGAUAAUGAGUAGCAUCAAGGAUCUGAACAUAAACUCUUCCACCAAGUAAUCCAACUAGCAUCAACUACAAAGAGUAAUCAACACUACUAGCAACCUUACAAGUACCAAUCGGAGUCGCGAGAUGGAGAUUGGUUACAAGUGAUGAACUAGGGUUUGGAGAUGAGAUGGUGCUGAUGAAGAUGUUGAUGGUGACGAGUCCCCUCCGAUGAGAGGAGUGUUGGUGAUGACGAUGGCGACGAUUUCCCCCUCCGGGAGGGAAGUUUCCCCGGCAGGAUCGUCCUGUCGGAGCUCUAGAUUGGUUCUGCUCAAGUUCCGCCUCGUGGCGGAGGCGAAACCACGAAAAAGCUCCUCCUUGAUUUUUUCCUGGACGAAACCCUCCAUAUAGCAAAAGAGGGGAGCAAGUGGGUCAGUGGGCUGCCCACAAGCCCUCAUGGCGCGGCCUGGGGGGUGGUCGCACCGUGCAGGCUUGUGGGCACCCCCUGGUGCCCCUCUAGCACUUCUUCGGCCCAGUAAUUUUGAUAAAUCGGGAAAAAAUCCCUCGUUGAUUUUUACGGCGUUUGGAGUUGCACAGAAUAGGUAUCUCAACUUUGCUCCACUUUCAGGCCAGAAUUCCAGUUGCCGGUAUUCUCCCUCUUCAUGUAAACCUUGCAAAAUAAGAGAGAAAAGGCAUAAGAAUUGUACCGUGAAGUGAAAUAACAGCCAAAGAAGCGAUAAAUAUCAACAUGAAAACAUGAUGCAAAAUGGACGUAUCAAACGCUACCUAACAUAUUUGUCCUUUGUAACUUCUUUCUUGUGGCAUGAAUGUUCAGAUCCGUAAGAUUCAAAACAAUAGUUUACUAUUGACAUGAAAACAAUAAUACUUCAAGCAUACUAGCAAAGUAAUCAUGAACUUUUGAAAUAACAAGGCCAAAGAAAGUUAUCCCUACAAAAUCAUAUAGUCUGGCUAUGCUCCAUCAUCCCUACACAACGAAUUUAAAUCAUGCACAACCCCGGUAUUGGCCAAGUAAUUGUUUUCGCACACUUACUUUCUCAAACUUUUUAAACUUUCACGCAAUACAUGAGUGUGAGCCAUGGAUAUAGCACUAUAGGUGGAAUAGAGUGUGGUGCAGAUUGUGAGGCAAAAAGGAGGAGAUGGUCACAUUGACUCGGCAUAUCAAUAGGCUAUGGAGAUGCCCAUCAGUAGAUAUCAAUGUGAAUGAGUAGGGAUUGCUAUGCAACGGAUGCACUAGAGCUAUAAGUGUGUGAAAGCUCAAAAAGAAAACUAGUGGGUGUGCACCCAACUUGCUUGCUCACGAAGACCUCGGGAAAUUUUGAGGAAGCCCGUCAUUGGAGUAUACAAGCCAAGUUAUAUAAUGAAAAUUCCCACUACUAUAUGGAAGUGACAAAACAAGAGACUCUCUAUCAUGAAGAACAUGGUGCUAUUUUGAAGCACAAGUGUGGAAAAAGAUAGUAGCAUUGUCCCUUCUCUCUUUUUCUCUCAUUUUUUUGGGCUCUUUGGCCUCUCUUUUUUCAUUUUUUUGGUGGGCAUCUUUGGCCUCUUUUUUUUCCUCAUACAAUGCUCUAAUAAUGAUGAUCAUCACACUUUUAUUUACAUACAACUCAAUACUUAGAACAAUGAUGACUUUAUAUGAAAUGCCUCCGACAGUUUACCGGGAUGUGCAACGAUCUAGCUUAGCGGAUGACGUUGAAACAUCUCGCUAGCUAUCUUACGAUCAUGCAAUGGCAAUAUGAAAGUGACGGCACAUGUCAUGAGACGGAGCGGUGGGAGUUGCAUGGCAAUAUAUCUCGGAAUGGCUAUGAAAAUGCCAUAAUAGGUAGGUAUGGUGGCUGUUUUGAGGAAGGUAUAUGGUGGGUUUGUGCACCGGCGAAAGUUGCGUGGUACUAGAGAGGCUAGCAAUGGUGGAAGGUAAAAGUGCAUCUAUACCAUGGACUCACAUUAGUCAUGAAGAACUCAUAUACUUAUUGCGAAAGUUUUUAUUAGUAAUCGAAACAAAGUGCUAAACACAUACUCCUAGGGGAAGGGUUGGUAGGUGUUAACCAUCGCGCGAUCCCGACCGCCACACAAAGGAUGACAAUCAAUAUAUCAAUUAUGCUCUGACUUCCUAACAUAGCGGUUCACCAUACGUGCAUGCUACGGGAAUAACUAACCUCAACACAAGUAUUUCUAGAUUCACAACACCCUACUAACAUGACUCUAAUAUUACCGUAUCCAUAUCUCAAAACUAAUUGUGAGGAAUCAAACUUCUCUUUACUAAUCAAUGCACUUGAAUAUGGAAGUUUUUGUUAUAUCCUCUUUGGAUGCCUAUCAUCUUUAGGACUCUUUCAUAGCACACGCCAAUUACCAAGUUACUUAGAGAGAGCACUCUCAAAAAGAUAUAAGUGAAGAUCAAGAGUUUUUAUUUCUACAAAAUAUGACACCGCCGUGCUCUAAAAAUAUUUAAGUGAAGCACUAGAGCAAAAUUAUCUAGCUCAAAAGAUAUCAGUGAUACACAUGCAAGCUAAAUUGCCUAACUCAAAAGAUAUAAGUGAAGCUCAUUGAGUAAUCUAGAAAAUUCACGAUGAGUGCAUGUCCCUCUCAAAAAGGUUUGCAGCAAGGAUGAUUGUGACAAAACAAAAAGCAAAGACUCCUAUAAUACACAACGCUCCAAGCAAAACACAUAUCAUGUGGUGAAUAAAAAUAUAGCCCCAAGUAAAGUUACCAAUGGAUUGAAGACGAAAGAGGGGAUGCCUUCCCGGGGCAUCCCCAAGCUUAGGCUCUUUGGUGUCCUUGAAUAUGGCUUUGGGGUGCCUUGGGCAUCCCCAAGCUUAGGCUCUUGCCACUCCUUGUUCCAUAGUCCAUCGAAACUCUACCCAAAACUUGAAAACUUCACAACACAAAACUUAACGGGACUUCGUGAGAUGGGUUAGUAUGAUAACGAGCAAAUCAAUCACUUGGGUACUGUAGCAAACUUNNNNNNNNNNNNNNNNNNNNNNNNNNNNNNNNNNNNNNNNNNNNNNNNNNNNNNNNNNNNNNNNNNNNNNNNNNNNNNNNNNNNNNNNNNNNNNNNNNNNNNNNNNNNNNNNNNNNNNNNNNNNNNNNNNNNNNNNNNNNNNNNNNNNNNNNNNNNNNNNNNNNNNNNNNNNNNNNGCUGUAUAUUACUAAUUCCACAAGAUAUAUUACUCAAUAUAAUCUAUGGAAACACCAAAACAAGCAAACUAUGCAUUGAAAACAGAAUCUGUCAAAAACAGAACAGUCUGUAAUGAUAUGAAUGCUAACCAUACUUCUGCACCUCCAAAAAUUCUGAAAAAUUUAUGAAAAUUAGUUCAAUUUGCAUAUCAAUCAGCAGAAAAAAGCAUAAGCUCAAUAUAUCCCUCUGGAUAGGAAUGAAAAAUAAUUUCGUGAGCGCAAAGUUUCUUUCUUUUUCAGCAUGAUCAAACAACUAUCACCCAAACUAAUCAUAAAGGCUUUACUUGGCACUUUAUAGAAACUAAGGCAAUAAAACAUGAUUAAUACAGUAGCUUAAUCAUGUGAACACACAAAAAUAGUAAGGAUACAUAUUGGGUUGUCUCCCAACAAGCACUUUUCUUUAAUGCCUUUCAAGCUAGGCAUGAUGAUUUCAAUGAUGCUCACAUAAAAGAUAAUGAUCGAAACAAAAUGGAAGCAUCAUGAAGCAUAUGACUAGCAAAUUUAAUCCUAACCCUCUUCCUAUGCAUAAGGAUUUUGUGAACAAACAAUUUUUUAGAGCAAGAAUCAACUAGCAUAGGAAGGUAAAACAAGCAUAGCUUCAAAACUUUCAACACAUAGAGAGGAAACUUGAUAUUAUUGCGAUAUGUAGAAGCAUAUGAUCCUCUCUCAUAAUAAUUUUCAGUAGCAUCAUGAAUGAAUUCAACAAUAUAACCAGCACCUAAAGCAUUUUUUUCAUGAUCUACAAGCAUAGAAAUUUUACUACUCUCCACAUAAGGAAAUUUAUUCUCAUCAAUAGUAGUGGGAGUAUCGUAAAAGACUUGAACACUACGAAUUGUUUCCACAUUAAAAGAGUAAUGUUCAGUAAAAGGGUACUCAUAAUUGUGACAAGUUUUAUUAUCAUUAUUCUUUAUAGCAUAAGUAUCAUCACAAUAAUCAUCAUAGAUAGGGGGCAUGCUUUCAUCAUAAUAAUUUUGAACAUUUAAAGUGGGGGAACUAAAAAGAUCAUCUUCAUCAAACAUAGCAUCCCCAAGCUUGUGGCUUUGCAUAUCAUUAGCAUCAUGGGUAUUCAAAUAAUUCAUACUAACAACAUUGCAAUCAUGCUCAUCAUUCAGAUAUUUUAUGCCAAGCAUUCUAUGUAAUUCUUCUUCUAGCACUUGAGCACAAUUUUCCUUCCCAUCAUUUUCACGAAAGACAUUGAAAAGAUGAAGCAUAUGACGCAACCACAAUUCCAUUUUUUUGUAGUUUUCUUUUAUAGAAUAAACUAGUGAUAAAACAAGAAACUAAAAGAUUCGAUUGCAAGAUCUAAAGAUAUACCUUCAAGCGCUAACCUCCCCGGCAAUGGCGCCAGAAAAGAGCUUGAUGUCUACUACGCAACCUUCUCCUUGUAGACGUCUUUGGGCCUCCAAGUGCAGAGGUUUGUAGGACAGUAGCAAUUUUCCCUCAAGUAGGUGACCUAAGGUUUAUCAAUCCGCAGGACGCGUAGGAUGAAGAUGGUCUCUCUCAAGCAACCCUGCAACCAAAUAACAAAGAGUCUCUUGUGUCCCCAACACACCCAAUACAAUGGUAAGUUGUAUAGGUGCACUAGUUCGGUGAAGAGAUGGUGAUACAAGUGCAAUAUGGAUGGUAGAUAUAGGUUUUUGUAAUCUUAAAUUACAAAAACAGCAAGGUAACUAGUAGUAAAAGUGAACACGAACGGUAUUGCAANUUUCCUUGGAUGACUUUAUCAGCCCAUUAUACCUUAUUGCGCAUCGAAUAAACCCAUGUGGACCCCUUGGGACGUGGUGGGCCCACCCAGUGGGCUCCUGGAACCCAUUCGUCACUCUCGGUACACUCUCGGUAAUGCCCGAAAACUUUCCGGAAUCCAAACACCAACUUCCUAUAUAUCAAUCUUCGUUUCCGGACCAUUCUGGAAACCCUCGUGACGUUUGCGAUCUCAUCUGGGACUCUGAACAACCUUCGGUCACCAACACAUGUAACUCAACUAUACAAAAACAUCAUCGAACCUUAAGUGUGCAGACCUUGCGGGUUCGAGAACUAUGCAGACAUCACCCGAGACACUUCUCGGUCAAUAUCCAAUAGCGGGACCUGGAUGCCCAUAUUGGAUCCUACAUAUUCUACGAAGAUCUUAUCGGUUGAACCUCUGUGCCAAGGAUUCGUAUAAUCCUGUAUAACAUUCCCUUUGUCCUUCGGUAUGUUACUUGCCUGAGAUUUGAUCGUCGGUAUCCCUAUACCUAUUUCAAUCUCAUUACCGGCAAGUCUCUUUACUCGUUUCGUAAUACAAGAUCCCGUGACUCACACUUGAGUCACAUUGCUUGCAAGGCUUAUAUGUGAUGUUGUAUUACCGAGUGGGCCCCGAGAUACCUCUCCGUCACACGGAGUGACAAAUCCCAGUCUUGAUCCAUGCUAACUCAACGGACACCUUCGGAGAUACCUGUAGAGCACCUUUAUAGUCACCCAGUAACGUUAUGACAUUUGAUACACAUAAGGCAUUCCUCCGGUGUUAGUGAGUUACAUGAUCUCAUGGUCAUAGGAAUGAAUACUUGACACGCAGAAAACAAUAGCAACAAAAUAACACAAUCACAUGCUACAUUUAUAAUUUGGGUCUUGUCCAUCACAUGAUUCUCCUAAUGAUGUGAUCCCGUUAUCAAGUGACAACACUUGUCUAUGGUCAGGAAACCUUGACCAUCUUUGAUCAACGAGCUAGUCAACUAGUGGCUUACUAGGGACAUUGUUUUGUCUAUGUAUCCACACAUGUAUUUGUGUUUCCAAUCAAUACAAUAUAGCAGGGAUAACAAACUAUUAUCAUGAACAAAGAAAUAUAAUAAUAACUAAUUUAUUAUUGCCUCUAGGGCAUAUUUCCAACAGCUGACGCAGCGGAGAUUGAGGUGUAUUGCUACUCGGAAGAGUCAAUGGCCUUGGCGUAUAGUUUGGAAACACGGUGCAUUCCUUUCUUCAUAAAAUGACACAAUGUGCGACCCCUCCAGUAUCCCCCCUCUUCGCCUCCACGAAUGUCAAGCUCUAGUGACUCAUAUCCCGACAGAACUUCAUCCAUCCCGACUUUAGCAUAGCCAACUGAAAUCAGAUUGCAAUGGAUGGUUGCUCCAGGUGCACUCGGUAAAGCAAAGCCGACCGACACGUUCAUGGAUAUGUUCUUCAUUUUCCGGUAUAGCUCACAACUUGUCCUCUCUUUGAUUUCAUCCAUGGGGUAGCGAGCCAUUGUGGAACACAUGCUGCUUUUCCGCAUAGAUGGGACGACAGUAUCAUCCAAUGUUGGAUCUACUUGCUCCUGUCGUGGAGAUGCCGCCCUUUGGUGGCUAUUUGUGUGCAGUUUCUCCUGUUGUCGUCUUACAAUGUGGUAUAACUCCUCGUAAUUUCUUUCUACCCUGUGAAUACGGUCUACAUCUUGCUUCUGCUUCCUCUAAAAGUAGUAUGGUUAGUUUAAUCCGAGCUCAACUAAGGACAAGCGACGGGACCUACUUAAAUAGUCGGGUAGUCCAAAUGUUGUAACCUUCGGCCCUCAUUACACUCUCAAGGAUAUGGGUUGUCAUUGUGAAUCUUCACAUGUUGCAAGCAGAGAAGGUCCACAAUGACACUCUAUAUUCUUAAUGAGAACAAUGAUGGUUGUCGGCUCCUUUUAUUAAUGUUGUUAAAUUAUUUUUGUCUGUUACGUAUGUAUGAGAGUAAUGAUCCAAUUGUUUAGAUCCUCGAAAAAUCGUACGAUACAGUAAAUCUCCGAGGUAGUCUUUGGGUAUGGUAAAAGUUUGGCGCAUUUCAAAAAAGCCUUCCCUAAGGGCGCUUGCAAGUUGCACCAUCUCCGAGGUAGUCUUUGGGUAUCGAGAGAAAAUGUGUCCGCUUGGUGAAAAGAAGUGUGGUUCAUAUUGCUUCCUUGGUCUCAAAACUUUUCAUUCUCUCAAAGAAGGCCACCGCAUGACACGUGUCAGUCCUCGGUAUUUUCUGGACCCGCCUGCAGUAUUUGAUAAAUUUGUUAUAUUGCUACAGUUUCAGCGUCAAAAAUGACAUGUCUAUAAUAUUUAAGAUAAUGAUAUUAUUGUUACAUCUGUUUUUGAUGAUGGGUUACAUGAAAAAGAUGCAUAAAUGUUCUACUAUUUUUUGCAAAGAGUCCCAAUAAGCAAGGUUACCUUUUCCAAGAACCCCACGCUAUAAGGUUACCUUUUUCGAGAACUCCACACGACAAGUUUACCUUUUUUGAGAACCCUCUCGGUAAAACUGAUAACCUAGAUCUAGGUUUGAGGGAUUUUUUCCGAGUUUUCCACUCGACAAGGUUACCUUUUCCAAGAACCCAUCUCGGUAAAAGUGAUGACCUAAAACUAGGUUUGGUGGAUCUUUUCCAAGUUUCCACCGACAAGCGCUCCGAAAAGCCAGCGCCAAACACUUAACUAAAAUUCCCCGCGCUCUCUCUCCUCAUUCGCGCGCGGGAGCUCUUUCGCCUUCUCUUCAAUCCGCCACCGCCUCCUCCCGCUCCUCCCGGCCGCUGGCGUCCUCACUCGGUCAGCAACACCGACAACCUCCCUUCUGCUCGGUUGUUACCUCCUUCGGCCGGCCACACCAGCGCCCACCCACCGCCUGAUUGCCUUCUCCUUCGGCUAGCCUUCACUCGUGUCUCCUCGGCUGGCCCCAUGGGCACCGCAUCGCCCAUCCGCCUCCUCCUCCGGACGGUCUCCACCCGCGCUCCCCCUCGGUUGGCCUCCAUCGAUGCCCCCCUCUGUCGGCCCUCACUGUGAAUUUUUGUUGUUUUUGACUUUUAGUAGUUUUUAUUAGUUUAUUUUGUAGUAUUGUUAAUUAGAUGUGGUAGUUUUUGUAGUAAUUUUUUUAGGUGUUUAUUGUAGUAGUUUUAGUUAUGUGGUAGUUUUUGUUUUGUAGUGGGUUUUGUGUAUGCGGUAUGUGUCCUGACUUCGAGUACAACACUCCGAUAGAAGUGAGCGCAUGUCCACCAUAUUAGACAGAUGAGAGAUGUUUUGAGAGAAAUGGUAUCAACUAUUGCCGUAGGUGUCGCUCUUCCUCUACUCCUCUGAUAUCCUCCAAAUGGGGGUCGUCAACUGAGUGGAAUCCGUCAGAGCCAUCACACACCAAGGGCGGCACUGAAGCUGCUCCCUCCCAACCGGGCGGCAUCGCGCCUACUUCCUCUCCAGAUCCAGCGGCCAUAUGAGAUGCAAUGCAUCCUCCUGACAAGACUGUCAUGCCCGUCGUCCCCGCGGUAGUUUCGCCCGUCGUAGCCUCCCGAUGGGUCACCGAAGCACCCCGCUACAAGCCCGCUCAAGCUCACCUUGCGCCCGCUCAGUUCGUCGCAUCGACAAACCUUAAAGACGCUCGCAUCGGCCUUUGAAGACCCGGCUUGCCUCACCGUCAACAAGGGCGUGGAGGUGUGUGCCGAGCGAAGAGCCCCCAUCUCCUCAUGGACAACCUCUACCUCGACCUUGUCGCAUUCACCCCCCUCCCCCCGCCUCGUCGUCGGCAACGACGACCUCUCCGGCUCUCCCCUGCACCGCCUCACGGGACAAGAAUAAGAGUGUGGAGGGGGGAUCUACCAAGCGAGUGAGUGAGAGAGUACUUCAACGUCCUCGUUCGUGUGUUUUUCGUUCAAAGCGAACGCUUGCUUGAUGCUGACGUGGCAGGAGACCUGCGCCAAGAUGCGAGCCACCAAAUCCAAAGGUUCGCACAUAGUUCGCCGGAAAAUCGUUCCUGGCGAACGUCGACCAGUUAUCAUUACCCUUUGUCAAAUUCCUCACCCCGGAACUCGGGAGACCGGUGCGCCUCGCGUCCAUGCCCAACCUGCUGCCGCCGCCCGGCGCCGCCCAGCGGCUCCUCGCCCCGACCGUCCCUCACCUCGCCCGCCUCCUCCUCGCGCACGCGCCGGCGAUCCCGCCGCUCCUCACCGCCAUCCUGCCCGCCUCGCCUUCCCUCCUCACGCCGCUCCUCUCCCACCUCCUGCUCUCCCACUCCCCACCCCUCCCGGCGCUCUCCCUGUACCGCCGCGUGCUCGAGCUCCCCCAUUUCCCCGUCCCGGAGAGCUCCCUCCCCGUCCUCCUUNNNNNNNNNNNNNNNNNNNNNNNNNNNNNNNNNNNNNNNNNNNNNNNNNNNNNNNNNNNNNNNNNNNNNNNNNNNNNNNNNNNNNNNNNNNNNNNNNNNNNNNNNNNNNNNNNNNNNNNNNNNNNNNNNNNNNNNNNNNNNNNNNNNNNNNNCCGCCGCUACGCGCACCACUCCUUCCAGCUGCUCGAGUCGCUCCCGUCCACCCGCCCCCACCUCCUCUCCGUGCCCGCCCUCUCCGUCAUCCUCUCCACGGCGCUCUGCGCCUCCGCUCCGGGCGCGUCCUUCGCGGCCGCCGUCAGCUGCUUCGAGUCCGCCGCCGCCGUCUGGGCGCGCGCGGGGCGCUCGUUCGGCGCCGCCGAGCUGAACGCGCUGCUCCGCGUCUUCUGCGCCCGGGGCCGCGUCGCCGAGGCGCGCGCGCUGUUCCACCGGUACCGGGACGCGUACCCGCCCGACACCCGCACCUUCAACACGCUGCUGCUCGGGUUCAAGGAGGCCGGCCACGCGCAGGCGCUCGACCUCUUCUACCAUGACGCGGUGCUGCGCGGCUUCGUCCCGGACGCCGUGUCCUACUGCGUCAGGAUGGACGCCUACUGCAAGAAAGGCAGGUUUCUGGACGCCCUCCAGCUGCUCGACGAAAUGCGCAAGAGGGACAACUGCAAGCCCACGCUGCAGGUUUUCACCACGCUGAUAUACGGGGCUGGGAUUGUGAGGGACGCGGCCCGUGCACGCCUCCUGUUUGACGAAAUGGAGCAGUGCGGAGUGACUCCGGACCGUGGAGCUCACAAUGCGCUCAUGGGGGCCUAUGUGAGGGCAAGGGAUUUGCAGUCCGGGAUGGCGCUCAUGAGCGAGAUGGAGCAGAAAGGUUUUGGUCUGGACGAUGUCACCUACAACACUAUGCUGUGUGGGUUCCAGAGGGCUGGUAACUUGGAGGGGAUCUGGAAGAUAUAUGGCAAGAUGAUUGGCUCAGGGUUCAUGCCAAGAACCAGGACAACAAUGUUGCUCAUGAAAGUCUUUUGCGAGAAUGGGCGACCGGAUCUUGGCCUUGAGCUGUGGGAUUAUCUGAUCGGUAAAGGAUGUGUACCUCAUAGGCAUGCUUUGGAUGUUCUGGUUACUGGUUUAUGCUGCAGAGACGUAGUUGGUGAAGCAUAUAGGUGCUUUCGGGAGCUGGUUGAGAUGGGAAUGGCGCCAACAGAGCGUGCAUUUCGGGUUUUGGAAGGGUUUUUGAAGAAGAAGCGGGAGUUUGGGAAGGUUGAUGAGAUUAGGCAAAUGAUGAAGGCAACCCAGUCACAGGAGCAUCAAGCUGAAGAAAAAGCUGCUUGAAGCUAUCCACCGUCUUGUGAUUCCUUUUGAAAGGAAGCAUAUUUAUUUCUUGGACCGUGUAAAAUUUCCAAGCCGGCAUGGUUUAGCAAAGGUCUCUGUUUAUACCCUCUGAUAUCGAGGUUGAAAUGUUGGCUGUUGCAAUGAACAAACUUGAUUUGACUGGGACCGACAAGGAAUAAAGAGCUAGGCUUGCAAUAACCUAACUCUCUUUGACUGGGACAAAGAGGGAAUAAUAAGAUAGCCCCAAGCCGCCAAUUUGAGAGAAAGAUAUGUAGAUUGGAGAAUCUUUGAGUUGCUAAAGAGUUUGAGACACUGAGAAGGAAUUUUUGUGGAGCCAGGUGCCACUAGAGAAACUGAAGAUUCCAGUUCUGCAGAAAAUGUUUGCUUAGCCUUUACCAAGGGAAUGAAUGCACUGGAAGUCUAGAAUUGAUACAAUAUAUUGAUAAGUUCACUCCGAUUUAUUCAUUGUCGUAACAAUGGUCCAAAGUUCUGCUGAAUUAUAUCUUUCAGAUUUAAUGGUGACAUGAGUUUUCUUCUCUCCCAGCCACAUAAUUCUUGUACAAAACAAGUGUAUUAGUAUGCUCAGCAUUUCAUUGCAGUCAUUCAGAACUAAAAGACUGUAGCACCGACUUGGAAAAGUAAUCACAAAGCUGAAUUUUGUCUUCCUUUGGUUGAUGCACAACUGAAUUUCUGUUUCUACUCUGUCAACUCAACAGCCAGUAUCGAUGGUAUUUUCUCUCUCAGUUUUUGUGUUACAGCUACACGUACUGUCAUUACACCUGCUGCAGGCCCACUGAUUUGAAUCUUGACGACGAAACCAUCGAUCUGAACAAGGUCUAAGCUUCCACCUCCGGUGCCGGAAAGGUACGGCCUGAUCUCAUCUAGCACCUACAAACAUCAUACAAACUUCAGAUUCACAGUUUGAUCAAUAAAAAGACCAUCUAAACUGUAACAUGAUUUUACAGGCUCAGAAAACAGAUCAGUAGCAUGCCAAAUGGAGCAUUGAUCAGUGAGUGAGCACACAGACACAAGUAUCUGGCUGACCUUCUCGACGUUCUCGGUGUUGAGCUCGAGCCCGGUCUCGGUGUCAUGGAUUUGCUCGACCUCAAGAAUCUCGGGGAUCUUGUCGCGGAGGCGGGACUCGAUGCCCAUCUUGAGCGUCAUGGUGGAGCUGGGGCAGGAGCCGCAGGCGCCCUGGAGCAUGAGCACGACGACGAGGCCGUCGAUCUCGUGCAGGGCCACGUUGCCUCCGUCCCGCAUCAGGCUCGGCCGCACCUCGUCCAGCACCCUCUCCACGUUCUCCUCCGUCAGGGGAAGCACCCGCACCGCCCACCCUUCAGGUACCAAUCAAUCAACACAUGUUUAAUCAAUCCAACAAUUCUGGCAAUUACAAUACUUCUCAUGGAUGGUGUAGCUGUAAAUUUUUUUCCUUUUGUGCACGGACCUGCUCUCCUGGCGCGGUGGUUCGGUGUCUGCAGCGACGCGUGGCCGAAGCUGAGACGGCCAUGGAUAAGGGAGCUUGAAGAACUCUGUGCAUGACAGCACAAUUAGGAUCGGUCAGUGCAGCAAGGGGAGAGGAAAUGGUUGGAGAAUAAGAGGCUGCGACGAGUGGAAGUGCGCACCUUGCGGAGAGCUCCUGCAAGGGGGGCGUUGGCGCCGCCGGCGCCGGCAGCGGCUUGCCGGAGAUUCGGCGAGCAGAGCCUCAUCUGAAGCCGAUUUUGCUUGCUAGCCGCGAGGGUUUGCGUGGGUGUCGUGGAUGUCGUCCGGCCAGCCGUAGGCAGGCAGGCAGGCAGGCUCACCCGUUCGUGAUUCCUUUUCGCUUCCUGGAUGUGGUUCACCUUGGUUUCACCCACCAUGGUGAAGGUUCGUUGGGCCUAAUGUGGUCCAUCAUCAUCUACAAGGCCUAGGGCCCAUGACCGAAUCCAAAAGCCUACCGAAAAGGUACGCCUAGUAGACUCUGCAAAAAAGAAAAAUCUUCAAAAAAGAAGGUAGGCUCUGAAAAACAAAUCCCUAGAAAAAUGCAUCCUGUCUCUGGACAAAGGCGGUUUUUUCACUGUGCAGUAUGUGUAAAGCGCAGAAAACGGUGGAACCCAGUCCAUCUCAAACUAGACCAAAUCAUUGAUGCGCUCACAGUUUUUUUCUGUCCGCAGAGAGAGUAAAGGCGACCAUGAAGCAUAGGCAUGACGACGGUCACAGAUAAGAUACCCAUAUCACCACGCCCUGAAACGCACUUUGCGAUCCGUCCACUACGAGCGAGGAGCCAGCAGAAAAAAUUAGGCCGGGAAAGGUCCAAAAGGCCGCCAAUAAUCUAUGCCCAAACCCGGGGGCAUCCAAGGGCCAGCGCUGGUAGAGUAGCACGUAUAUGUGAACACCGUUCAGAAACAAAAACGUAUGCGAACACCGACCGGGACAGGGGGUGCCACGGGGUGGUGGUGUGGUCCAUGUGAUCCGUCCGUCCAGCCAGUUUGAUGUUGUUUGUGCUGGCCACCAAGCGCACACACACAGCACGCACGUACGCACGCACGUAGGCAAGACUCAUCAAGAGAUUGCCCGGACGACGAGGACAGCGAGGAAAGGGAUCGGCGGCAGGUAGCCUGUCGGGCGGGGCGAGCGCGACAGUCGGCUCGCCAUUAUUUGGCCGCUGCCCGCCGGUGCUGCUCCUUAUUUGGCCUCUCUCUCUCUCUCUCCCCCUACCACCACGCCCGAUUCUCCAGAUCUCCCACCACCAGCAGCAGCAGCAGCAUCGGUCACAUGGUCAGCCCCGUUCCUCCUCCAGCAUCCGGCUUUUGUUUUCCGAGAGCACGCAGGCAGGAGAUCAGCUGCGCGCCACGGGCGGACACAUGGGCUGGCCAGAGAAUUUUCCUUUCGAGAAAAGGAAACAAGCCUCCGCGUUUCGACGCAUCGAAUGGCAUGGAGAUGAUGUGGUCGUCGAUGGGCCACCGAGGCGGGACACGAGACGUAUCUGUGUAAGCAAGAAUUGUCAAAGGAAAUUGAACUGAACAUUUUGUUAAUACGCGUGUACCUUUCUUCACAAGUUGGCCACCCGUAUAUAGCUAGUCUUUCCUGAAAGGAACCAUCGAAUAUCUGGUCUGGGACUGGGAGCGCAACGAGGGCCAGUAGAUCGUUCUCGAAGUUAUCCACAAAGGUUGAUGCUGCCUGUCUGACCCCGGGCGGUACGUGGAUGGCCGUGAGCCCGUGACGUUGCGAUGUUCCUUUCCAUGCUAGAUAUUUGCUUGUCUGAUAUUGGGCAUAUGGUAUGGGGGCUGCUGGACAAAAAUGUCUGUUAGAUUCCCACCUCAUGUCAUGGUACAGUAUUAAUGUCAAGUGCUAGUAGCUUUAUUCAUUCAUUCAUUCUAUUCUACGGACGCAAUCACACGAAUCAGGACCGGACCCGUGCCGCGUAAGUUACUACUCUACUUGGUGUUGUAUAAUUCAGAACCUAACCAACAAGAUUGGGCUCAUCAAUGAACACCAACCUGAACAACACGAGACAGGGUCAACAGUGUCAUCAUGCCAUGGAGUAUAUCUCCAAGUGCAAAUCCUUUUCGGAACAGUGACAGUCUGAUAGCAUCCAGAAUCCUUUCCUUGGUGGAAAAAGGAGCACGAGAAGGGAAUGCAGUUUGGGGUUAGAGUGGAUAGAAAGUAACAUGGCCGGACCCCGGCAUUAAGUUUUGUGAUGAGUUGUCGACAUAGGAUUCUCGGACAGCCAAGUAGUGAUGGGCAGCGCAAUCUUAUCCUACGUUGUACUGUGCUACUACCAUCCUAUGUUACGCAUGCACCACUAGCACAUCUGAAGAGAGAGAGAGAGAGAGAGAGAGAGAGAAAACAUAUUAUUAAAACUCCAGAUUAAGUCGUUCCCAGAAAAAUCUUGUUGCUUAGCCCGGGAUACCGUUGAAGCGUUCAUAUCAUAUGGUGAUCGAGGCUGCCUUAAAUCAAGGCAUGGAUGGAUCCAUCAAGGUAACUAGGUGAGGGCAGGGAAACAACAAGGAAAAGUCAAACCAUAUGGAAUCUGGACCCCCAAAUCAAAUCACCAACUGAUCAUUGAACAGCCUAGCUACUGUUAAGUCAACCCAGGCGUGAUUUAGAUGAAGAGGAGAGGUUAGUUUAGUACCUUGUCGGUGCAAUCAGGGGAUUAACAAAGGCCUGGCUUGAGAUACGGGCGUCCUAGAAUCCUGGGAAGGCAGGGAUCGAACAUGCCGAAACAGCAGCAGCAGCACAUCAACGGCAACAACAGCCUGUUCAUCCAGGGUUAAAAAUAAAAGAAAACGCAAAGUUAGGCAAAGGGGCUUGCAACUCACAUCACAUGGAAUCUCAAACGGAGAUUUACUUUUCUUCAGUCCUCCUGGUGGCCAGGCCCCAGGGGCCGGGGCUGUGACGACGACUCGCCAAGGACAUCAGCAGCAGCAGCAGCCGAGGAUAACUCCUUGCAGCGGGCCCACGGUAUCUGCAGAUCUACUACUACUAGUACUACAAACUGCAAACAUGUGAGGAUAUGUCUGGCCUCGCUUAUCCUAUAUCAGAGUGGGGGUGGGGGGUGGCGAUUUGAAAACACCUUGGUAUCUUUAGUCCCGGCAAGGCCUGCGUGAAAUAUCUACUCCACAUGCAUGUAGGUUGGCCUCCCUCCUCCUUGUGUUCAUUAAACCAGCGGAGAUUUGGCCGCCCCAUUGGCGCUUCCCUGAUCCUUCCUUCCUUGAGCUGAGCCUGCCCGGUCUGUUAUAAACAAGUAUACUUGUCUGCCUCCUGCCAACGAUCUCAAAUCCUCGGCUUUUGCCUCGUUGCAUCCUGCAUCCUGCUCCUGCUCCUGCUCCUGCUUAGCCACCGCACAGCCUGUCUCGAGCCUUUGCAUUGCUGCCUUUCCUCCCCUUUUGGUUGGCUCGCCUAUUGUUAUUCCUACAAAAGGAUGCGGUCUGCUUCAUGGGCAUGAGGAGGAGAGGGAGCCUUGCUGCUGCGUCCAGAUUCCGGAGCUUCUCCAUCGCAAUUCUCCCAUGCUCGGUCGCUGCCCGCAGCUUCGAAAUGAGUAAUGGGUGCUGAGGAGAGCUUGCGCCCGUUGUCGUUGCCCUUGCUGGUGUAUGGAGGUUCCCGGUGCUCAUGAGCCAUAACAGAAGUCCAGAGGAGAGUGAAGAUGCGAGAUAAGCAGCUGCAUCAUGAGUCGCCGAUGUUCAGGUGAGUGAAUCUUCAUGUCAACUGCUGCUCUAUGUCUGGUUUCGCAGACGCUGUGUUGGCCCAUCCAUCCAGCAUCGGCUGCUUUCCCUCUAUCCCUGCAAUCAAGCAUAUGAUAAUUACCUUGCAUGUUGUAGAACUAACUCUGGUUGCGGUUUAAAGAGUAUAUCAUGCGAUAAUUCACUUACCAUGCAGACAAUAUUGGUGAUAAGCCUGACCUUUCCCUCUGACUGUUUCAGGAAUGGCUACUGAUUUGUUUCGUACUCAUAGGAUCCUCUUUGCCCUGUUGGAGAAAGGAGGAAUAAACAUCAUUAGAGAGCUAGAAAGUAGAGGUUCUGUUCAGAAACUAGCCAAAAUAUUGCUGAAAGCUAGUGGGGGAGGGCUUUUGAACGACAUCUUGGCAGAUAUAAUGGACAGGUAUUCCAAACACGACAGCAAGGAAUCACUUCGGAGAACAAUCAUGGAACAUGAUGAGGUCUUCAGACAACAGGUAACAAGUAGUUAUGUUAUUCAUAAUUCAUCUCAUAAAGCACCAGAUUUACAAGACAUCUAUAUAACAUUGAGAAUUUGAGAUUGGGAAAAAAAUCAAAAGCGAGGAACUUAAAGUUCAAAUACCAGAAUAGAUCUUUAGAUUCUUCAAUUUGCAAUAUACGUUUGUAGUCAUCAGUGAGAAUGAUUAACAUGUGUUCUACCUUCAUGAUAUAAUGCAGUGCAUAGUGCUGUUAACCUGCAUAGUCAUUCAUCUGAAAACCAACUAUUACGAUGUUCUGUGGUUGUCUUGUCAGUCUGCAACUCAGAUUUUUUACAUUCCUGUUUUCUUGCGUCAGGUGCAUGAAUUGCAUCGGCUAUACAGGGUACAGAAAGCACUGAUGGCUGAAUUACGUGGCGAGAAGCACAGUUUCCAACUCAGAACAGAAGAUACUCGAGAAAUGGUGCAGGGCCACAGGCCAAACCUCAAGAAUAGCUCUUGUACGUCAGAGACUAGUCAAUCUGCUUGUCUUGGAAACGCGCAGUACUCUGAUACUAGGCAAGUACCUGAACAGUCGUUUCUUCAAGAAUGCAAGCCCGUCUCAUGCUUAAACCUCUUCGAUGAAGAAACUUCAAGAAGCCAAGAGAGAAGACCAGAAAGCAGUAAAUCAGUUGAAGGUGAAAGUUGGAGUGUUUCUAUGGAAGGUGAUCUCGAUCUCAAACUAAGCAUUGCCCCCAGUUCAAAUGCAACAAAAGCACCACACUGGCUCUUCUCCGACAGCAGGGAAAGAAACCCUUCUGGUCAGCAUCGAUGACAAAUUGACAACCAAUUGGCAUCCCAGAUCAGUUGGUUUCAUGGUGCAAGAAGCAGAUGUUAACACUUCCAAGCUAUCUCAUAGCAUAUCAUAUCUCCUUGACAUGCUGGCCUCAAAUUUUGGUCUGAACUAAUACCUCAGACAUGAGUAAUUUGUAUGCGGAAUUCUAGAGCUUCUCAGGCUGUCAAGCACAAGGACUUGCUAGGAGCAAAUUAAUGUAACACCAAGAUAGCAAAGUAUUGGCAGCAAUUCAUUUCUUAUUUGUCCUCUCCCAUAAUCCAGAAUGAAAGAGACAUUAGCAAGUAGAAAGUGACCUGACUUCUGUCCUCCUGCAAUAGUUAUGUCCACCAAUGCUCCAAAAGGAAUUCUUGCUAACAUAUACCGUGGGCAGUGUUUCUCUAUUUGCAUUUGCUUUGUUUGUCUGGAUCAUUCAAUGUAAGUUAAAGUAGUGAUCAAACACCCAGGUUAUUUAUGACCCAAACAUUGCCAGCUUAGGUCUGCAUCAUGUAACAAAUCGUAGCAAAUUAGCCAAGCCAAAACUGCUCUCGAACCAGAUAUUGCACACUGAAGUUAUCUUAUCCCGCUAUUUAAUAUUGUGUGCAAAUGCUCAAGAAACAAGCCAAAUAAACAAUUUAUUACAUGGAGCAUUAAUCAAUCACGUUCCUGUUUUCUGCCAUAUUUUGUUGAACUAUUGCUGCUUUUCUUCUUUCACCAGAAUCCACCACAUGAGCAUUCUCCGUCUUUGAAAUGAUGGAAUCUCAUAUUGUCCCUGACUAUAAUCUCAGCCUGCUCAACUCUUGAGGCAAGUCGCAUAAACAAAUGGCAAUCCUCGCAGAUCCUUAGAUUUUUUACUAUUCGAAUUGUGCAUCUAGAUCCAAGAGUUAGCAAUCCAAACGACAGAGCAAGUUUCUCACUGUGACCCAUUAACAGCCUUUCUUUCUCUCCAUCACUCACAUCAUAAACAAUAGAAGUCAGGACUGGCACAUAACCAGCAUGCUUCAAUUUCACACCUAGCUCUGAUAAUGCCUUCUUUAUUUCAUUGGUCCUUGGAUGAGAAUUGUCACCAGCAAAGAACUGAUGGACCAAACCAUCUCUGCCUUCAAACGAGCUCACGGCAGGAUCCUUUUUCAGUCCCCGGCUUCUCAUCAGUUUCCGAACCUGUGAGACUUCCUCCCACUUUCCUGCCGAUGCAAGUGUAUUCGAUAACAGCACGUAGUUCCCUAUACCCUCUGGCUCAAGCUUAAACAGAUGUUCAGCUGCAACCUUGGCAACCUCAGUAUUCCCAUGGAUCCGACAAGCCCCAAGCAGCGCUCCCCAUACACCGCCAUGAGGCUCUACGGUCAUUGACUUCACAAGAUCUAGAGCUUCGUCCACCAAUCCAGCCCGACCAAGCAAAUCGACCAUACAAGUAUAGUGAUCUGGAGAUGGCAAUAUCCCAUAUUUGUCCUUCAUCUGUGCAAAGUAGAAGCGCCCAUCUCUGACCAUCCCUGCAUGGCUGCAAGCUGUCAAUAACCCUAUAAAGGUCACAUGGUUGGGCACCACAUCGGCCCUCCUAACCAUGUCCUUGAACAAAGCAAUUGCCUCUCUAGCCCUCCCAUGAGAUGCGAGACCAACAAUCAUUGAGCUAUAUGUGUAAACAUUCUUCUCCUGCAUCCCGUCAAAAACGCUGCGUGCUUCAUCAAUUAGUCCGCACUUGGCAUACAUAUCCACCAACCCCGACCCGACAACCACAUUCUGCCCAAAGCCAUUCCUCUCUGCGAUCUCCUGAACCCAGGCAGCGCGCCUCACCGCGCCAAGCUGAGCACAAGCUGAGAUUGCACCCGUCAAUGAGACCUCGUCAAUGCCCAUGCCAAUGGUGGCCAUCCGAUCAAACACUUCCAGUGCCUUGGCCGGCAUGGAAUUUUGAGCAUACCCGGUGAGCAUGGCUGUCCAUGCCACCAUGUCCUUCAGCGGGCACUGCGCAAACACCUCCUCUGCGGAACCCAUGUCCCCGCUCCUGGUGUAGGCCACCACAAUGCUCGUCCAGGAUAUGACAUCCUUGACCACCAUUUCAUCAAACACCUUCCGUGCGGCACCGACGUCGUUGCAGGUGACGUAGGCGCCGAUGAGCGAGUUCUCAACGAACCGGUGCUUAUCGAACCCGCCGAGGAGGAUGGAGACCGCGUGGGCGGCCUGGGCGGCCGGGAGGGAGCGGGCGGCCGCGGCGGACUUGGCGAGCGGGGAGAAGGCGAACGGGAGGAAGGGGAGCUCGCCGCGGGGAAUGUGGAGGAGGCGGGAGAAGAGGCGGAAGGGGCUCAGCGGCGGCUGCGUGAGGAGCGCGAAGCGGAGGAGCGCGGCGGCGAGGAAGGGGUCCGGGGGAGCGUGCGUGGAGAAGACGGAGAGCGCGUAGGGGAGCGGCGCGUGCGGGGGCGGGAGGGCGGCGAGGCGGCGGAGGAGNNNNNNNNNNNNNNNNNNNNNNNNNNNNNNNNNNNNNNNNNNNNNNNNNNNNNNNNNNNNNNNNNNNNNNNNNNNNNNNNNNNNNNNNNNNNNNNNNNNNNNNNNNNNNNNNNNNNGAGGCGGCGGAGGAGGCGGGAGAGGAGGUAGGGGAGGGAGUGGGGAGGGAGCGGCACGCGGACGAGCAGCCCGUGGAGGCUGCGGAGGUGUCGGAGGGACGGGGAGGCGUCGACGGCCGCGUGGAGGAGCGAGGCCAGCGCGGGGGGCGGGAGGAGGGGCAGCGGCAGCCCGGUGGGGAGCGGCGGCUGCGGGGCGCGGAGGAGCAGCGCGGGCGGGGGACGCGGCGGAGCCAGGUGCACCAUGCCGGCAUUGGUUGCCCGUGCGGCACGGCGCGCGGCGAGCGGUGUUCUGGGAGACGGUGCCCGGCGAGCUGCACCUGCACGCUUCGCGGCACGCCGCGGUUUCGGCGGUGGCUGGUUUCGAAAACGCGCGGUGUUUCGCGGGAGGCGGCGCGGCGGCGCGAGGCAAACUGUUGAAACGACGGAGCAGAGCAGCGCGGCCGUUUUUUCCCGAGCGACGCCGGACAGGAGGACUUUGGGCCUCGUCAUUCGCGGUCUGCCUGUAUAUAUGCGCUGGUCACAAGAAAUUGGGCUGGGUUGGUCUUAGGUAUUUCUUUCGGUGUGUUUUGCUGGAGCCCAAUCCAAUGGCAAAUCCUAUUUGGAGCUGCAGGCGUCGGUUAUAGUGCAAUUUCCCUAACCGGCGCCUGCAGCCGGGUGAGCUGGCCUCAGCCCAUAUAGUCCCCUUUCUGUCGCAAAAUAGAGCACAACUAGGAUACGAUCUUACGAUCUCUUAAGCAUUCGGGCGAUGGAAUAACCAUUCGACCAUGGACCAUCAGUUGCUCUUCUAUCGCUUCUUCCUUCUUUUUUACUAGCACGUCUUUUUCCUUUUUCCAUUUUUUCUAUCUUUUUUUAUUUGGAAGGGUUUGUUUUGUUUUUUAUAUUUUUUGUAACGUAAGAGAAAAUAACAUUUGUGUUGUCGACGAUGGUCUUAAUGUUCACACGACGAAAACGCAUUUGAAUGUACAUUUGUUUCUCCCACGAGAUUUUUUAAAGGUGUGCAUGUGUGGUUAACGAUGUUUUCUUUCCUCUCAAUUUGGUUUUAAUUUAAUGUAUGUUUAUUGCAAUUCGUAUUAUUGGCAAAAAGAGAGAAAAAAAGAUCAUGCACUACAGAUUAAGUUUGCACCAAAAAUAAUAUUUAAGAAGUAUUCAACAGCUAAAAAUAACAUCCUACUUAUAUUCUACACAUUUUUUAAUCAAAUUUCAUAUAUAACAUGUUAAAAUCGUAGUUACGGUUUAAAAGAUACGGAUAAUUUUGUUUUAGAUAAAAUGUGGACUGAUUAACUGAAAAGUCAGGUUUUUUUGUUAAAACGAAAAAAACUUUUCGGCUGACUUAAAUACGGAGGGCGGGUUGAUUACCUGAAACAUCAGGGAGGUUUCUGAAAAAUGCAAAAAACGAUUCGUUUUCUGACUUAAAUCUGGACUGCGUGUUGAUUACCUGAAAUAUCAGCGGGAUUUCUGAAGAAUGUAAAAAAGAUUCGUUUUCUGACUUAAAUCCGGACUGUGGGUUGAUUUCAGAAAACGUUAUGGGCUUUUUUGUAAAAGUGGCAUGACGCACGCCCGAAGCAGUCGGUGCUUUAUCAUUAGGGAGAGACUUUUCUUUGUUCUUUUUUAUUUGGAACAAUUUUUUUUUGGUUUUUGUUCUUUUAUUUUUUAAAUUUGAUGAACUCUUUUUAAAACUUCAUGAACAUUUUUUUCAAAAUUUGUGAACUUUUUUCAAAUUCGAUGAACUUUUUUAAAAAAAUGAUGAUUUUUUUUAUCAAAUUGAUGAACUUUUUUUCAUAAUACAUGAUUUUUUUCUAAAAUCUGUGAACUUUUUUCAAAUUCGAUGAUUUGUUUUUAAAUGAUGAGCUUUGAAUAAAAUGCGAUGAAUUUUUUUCAAAAAUUGGUGACCGUUUUUCAAAAAAUGAUGAACAUUUAUAAAAUUUGAUGAACUUUUUUUAAAAAUAGAUGAACGUUUUUUAAAAUACGAUGAAUAUUUUUUCGGAGUUGAUGAACUUUUAAAAAAAAUUGGUGAACGUUUUAAAAAAAAUGAUGAACUUGUUUUAAAAAUGGGUGAACGUUUUUUUAAAUACGAUGAACGUUUUUUCGGAAUUGAAGAACUUUUUUCAAAUUCUAAUAAACUUUCUUUAAAUUCGUGAAUUUUUGUUCUUUUAAUAAAUCUAUGAACUUUUUAAUUUACACAACAUAUUUAAAAUUGUAAAAAAUCAGAACCAGUCUUUUUCCUGAACCAAUAACACAUCACAUCCGUAAAAAACCAACAAGCCUAGCAAAAGCGAACGGUAGUGGAUUUACUUAGUGGGCCGCGGCCCGUUGCUGUACCCGCUAGUUUUGUGGUCACUCAAAAUUUUGUGGUCUGGGCAGUUUUUUUUUUCUUUAUGCGAGAUUCAAUUUUUUUCUCAUGACAAAAAUGUCGAUGUUGGUCUCAAAUCUAACACCCAUUGUACUAAAUCGUAAAUCCCACAUCACAACUUGCGCUACGCUAUUACAUUCUUGUUGCUCAAGAAGUUCUUCAUUUUCGAAGAAAAAUAGACCCUCGUCCAUCCUCAACUCAAGCAAAUAUUAUUCUUCUAAAAAGUUAUGACAAUGUCUAUUGUGAAAACAAUGAAUUAACAUUUCAUCUACAUUCGUCAUCUUCACGGUGUUGGAUAAUGACAAAAUCCUUCUUGAUACCAUACUUCACUAGCUUCCCAUUAGGCUCUUCUUUCCACACUCAUUUGCAAAUGUUAGGUCCACCUCUCCUCUUACCACCUUGUGUACCCCACUUCCCCACAUGGAGCGAAGAAAAUGAUCAUCCCUUUGACUUCUACUACUAAAAAUGUCAUCAAGGGUCACAAGAAUUGUAUAUCAAAUGAUCGUUGACGGGUCAUGGAUGGGUGGUCUCUCACCACAUUGUCUCCCACCCUGGUGGGCUGGGCCGCGGACCCCCAUAUCGGUUCAUCAGCGGGCCACUUGAAGGCUGCCCAUGACAUGUGAAAGGAAGAUUCCUAGAGGUUUGACGUAUACUUUAAGAUAUUGGAAGUUGUCUACACCAUGUUCUCCUUGUACGUAAUCGACUAGGUUGUAACCUUAGAUCCAUUGGUGUCUAUAUAAACCGAGGGCAGGGCUUGUUGACAACACACAACAAUCUCGGGAUAGAUAAACUCUACUUUGUACUCCAUCUGAAAGCAAUAUAACACAAGCAUGACAUAGAGUUUUAUCUAUUCGAAGAGCCUGGGUAAAAAAAUUGUCCUUGUUACCAUCGUCUCAAGAUCCUUAGUUCGAGACCCCGUACCCGAGGUCUGCCAGAUUUAGCUUCGUCAAUCGUCCCUUCUGAUUGGCAUCCUAUAUUGCUCCAAUCUAGGCAACAUAGCACAACUAUGUGUUUCUCAUUGUGUCAAAGCCUUAUACCACCAAGACUAGGCCAAGAUUAUGCAUUGCAUUUUUUUAGCGGUUAUAGUUGUUUCUCGCAUUCCAUAUGUUCCAUCUUGAUUGAACCUUAGGGGUAGCCUAGGGAGGAUAUAUGAAUCAUUGGUCUCAUGGCCAGGGACGAAGCCAGAAAAUAGAGAUAGGGGGGCAAGAACUAAAAACAUCAAAAUCU